Molecule: long non-coding RNA, 201 nt
Organism: Athene cunicularia (burrowing owl)
Lineage: Eukaryota; Metazoa; Chordata; Aves; Strigiformes; Strigidae
Exons: 3
Source: RefSeq, a predicted model, not a curated record
AAAUAGGCUUCUUGGCUGCUAAAGCGUAGCAGCUCCUCGCUGCCUUUGCUCUCGGGGCUUCACAGUAGUUGGGGCCUUUGGGCAAUGGGAGCUGCUAUUGACCACAGGGCAGAUUGGGCCUGGGUAUAAAUGGAGUCCCCUGGAGGAGCCAUUUUGAGCUCCUCCCCUGGGGGACCCAUUUUGAGCUUGUCCCCUUUGGAG